Lytechinus variegatus (green sea urchin) is the source of this 488-nucleotide long non-coding RNA. RefSeq lists it as uncharacterized. The record is from RefSeq and is a predicted model, not a curated record. The transcript is spliced from 3 exons. Lineage: Eukaryota; Metazoa; Echinodermata; Echinoidea; Temnopleuroida; Toxopneustidae.
AAUUUAAUGACAUUCCAUAAGAAUAAAAAUCCAAUAGGACCAAGAUCUUAGCAGUUCACACCCGGUCAGAGGGACAAAAUUGAGAACCAUGCAGAUCAGCAAGUGUGAGUUGCACUCUAAUGAGGAACAGGACAUCUGAAUUGGAACAUUGCAAGGUUUCUCACUGCCCAAGCUGUACCACCGGUAUCACAACAAGUACCAAGACGGAAGAAAUAUGAAGGCCAAGUUAAUAAGUAGUUACUUUAAAUUAAUUUGAAUAGACAUAUCAACAAAGCAUUGAAUGUUCUUUAAACUGCAUAUCUGUAGAAAGAGUGCAGUUCCAUUUCAGAUUCAUCAGCGGGCAAUGAUAUUAAAGCAUACAAAAUUUCACAAAAAAAUUACAAGUAAGAAAUUUUUUUUUCCAAUGGGCAAAUGUAUCAACUUUUAUUGAUAUUUAAUACUUAUACUAGUUCUUAGAAGUUUUCUUGAAAUUAAAUAAAAUUUCCAGU